CUUCUGCGCUGGCAGGCAGAUUUUUUACCACUGAGCCACCAGGGUAGCCAGAUUAACAUAUUAGCCAGUGGUUUAUUUACUUUGUUAGGAAAGCAACUCAUAUUCGUUGUAUUAAGUAGAAAAAAAAUUAGAAGAAAAUCUCAAAAAUUGAGGAUAACUUCCCAAAUCAUUAAGUACUGCGUGGGACCCCUUAACUCCCUCUGAUGUUAGAUACUUUAGUUACCAGUUGUUUGUAUUAUAGGCUCUAGUUUGAAUAUCCUUUCACACACAUGCAAACCAGGUUAUUACUUUAGGUUAGAUCCGUAGAGUGAAUAUGAGCCCUCACAAAGUGUAUGAGUUUAUUAUGCAUUGCUGGUUGUCUUUCAAGAAAGAUUUUGCCAAUUUAUACACAUGUGCCUGUUUAGCAUAUUUUUUAAAGCCAGUACACAUAAAAAGACAUCAUGCAUAUAAUCAGCAGAGCAUCAUUUUAUAAAUAUUUAAGUGGAAAGGGAAAAAUUGUCAAGAAGGUAAGGGCUGAACCAUCAGGAUUUGGGGAAUUGUGGGGUGUGAGGCAGGGGAUGGAUAGAAAUGUCUAACUUUUCUCUCAUUAAAAUAGAAAUUAUUCAAGAAAGAAAAUGCACUGAAGAGCAAAUCUGUGAAAUUGAACUCUUCAUCCUGUUAAAAGGCCCCAAAACAUCAAACUGACUUAGCCAACUCCCAUCUCCAAAUGUGAUGCCCCAGGCAGAUUCUUCACCAGCUGAGCUACCAGACAAGUCUGAGUUAGCAGGGAAGCCUGUCAUCUCUUCUACUAAAGCACUAUAUGGAUAAAUGUCUUCUCAGUUGAAAAAAUAAUGCACCCCCAAACAGACUCAUAUUAGAUAUAUUUCAAAGUAUAUACAAUCCACUGAUCUUUAACUUAAAGCAUUCUGAAAUACUGUGAACCCAAAAAGGAUUACAUUAAGUGAAACUAUACAUAUUGUGAAAGCUAAAAAUAAAUCUUUUAAUCAUGAGACUGUUAAUUUGAAGAAGAAUGUGAUACCUCAUGUGCCCAGCCUCCUUUACCCUUCACUUGAGAUGACUGUAAGAUGUGAAAAAUAAACGUGUAUUUAUCUAAACUGUAA
This is a long non-coding RNA of Capra hircus (goat), 1100 nucleotides long. RefSeq lists it as uncharacterized. The transcript has 3 exons. The record is from RefSeq and is a predicted model, not a curated record. Lineage: Eukaryota; Metazoa; Chordata; Mammalia; Artiodactyla; Bovidae.